RNAcentral lists this ribosomal RNA (19 nucleotides) under uncultured fungus. RNAcentral's name for it is "partial 18S ribosomal RNA". The record is from RNAcentral. Lineage: Eukaryota; Fungi.
AGGGGCAUGCACACCUGAU